AGUAACGGCGAGUGAAAGGAGAUGAGCUCAGCGCUGAACCGCUUGGUGACUCACUACUGCGGACUGUAGCGUAUAGGUGUGGCUAUUCAACAUUGCUGUACAUCCAAAGUACUCUUGACCGAGGCUACCAUAGAUGAUGCAAGUUCAGUACGGAUGACAGUGGUGUUGAUCGGCUAUUCCUUAGAGUCGGGUUGUUUGAGAUUGCAGCCCAAAGUUGGUGGUAAACCCCAUCUAAAGCUAAAUAUGGCCACGAGACCGAUAGCAAACAAGUACCGUGAGGGAAAGUUGCAAAGUACUUUGAAGAGAGAGUUCAAGAGGGCGUGAAACCGCUAAGAUGGAAACAAAUGGAGUUGACGUAGUCUUUUGACAAUCAGUUUGACUGAUGUGAUGACCCGGGUGAUUUGUUACUGUCAAAGGGACGGUUGUCUGGGAUGUCAUGUUAGUUGGAUGCACUUGUUGGAAGUAAGCGCUGAGAUGCUUGCAAGGAUUGACAGAAGGAAAGCAAUGAUGGACCUCUUCGGAGAAAACCUGUGCCUCUGGAUGUCAAGUCUCUGUAAGUAUUCGUAGACGUGUAUAGCCUUGUGCUUGGCAGUUUAAUGCUCAUAGUCUGUGCGUAAGGAGGCGUGCCUCUUUGCGUAUAGGUUGCGUUCACUAGGCUGUCUUGCUAUGUAUGCGUUUCUCGGUGUAAAAGUCAACUACCUAUUUGACCCGUCUUGAAACACGGACCAAGGAGUUUAGCAUAUGUGCGAGUAGUUGGAUGAUAAAUCUGAAUGCGUAAUGAAAGUGAAGGUUUCUUUAUGAAGCUGAUAUCAGAUCUGCGGUAAAACGUAGAGCAUGAUAGCCCCAUCUGAAUGGCUUGCCAUUAGGUGGAGGAAGAGCAUAUACGCUAAGACCCGAAAGAUGGUGAACUAUGCUUGAGCAGGACGAAGCCAGAGGAAACUCUGGUGGAGGUCCGAAACGGUUCUGACGUGCAAAUCGAUCGUCUGACUUGGGUAUAGGGGCGAAAGA
RNAcentral lists this ribosomal RNA (1008 nucleotides) under Myolaimus sp. RGD233. Its description in RNAcentral is "eukaryotic LSU rRNA". It matches the Rfam family "Eukaryotic large subunit ribosomal RNA", at positions 82 to 930 of the family's 3401-position model. The record is from RNAcentral. Lineage: Eukaryota; Metazoa; Nematoda; Chromadorea; Rhabditida; Myolaimidae.